This 253-nucleotide ribosomal RNA is filed under the name uncultured bacterium. RNAcentral's name for it is "partial 16S ribosomal RNA". It matches the Rfam family "Bacterial small subunit ribosomal RNA", at positions 524 to 776 of the family's 1533-position model. The record is from RNAcentral.
UACGUAGGGUGCAAGCGUUGUCCGGAAUUAUUGGGCGUAAAGAGCUUGUAGGCGGUUUGUCGCGUCUGCUGUGAAAUUUCGGGGCUCAACCCCGAACUUGCAGUGGGUACGGGCAGACUAGAGUGUGGUAGGGGAGACUGGAAUUCCUGGUGUAGCGGUGAAAUGCGUAGAUAUCAGGAGGAACACCGAUGGCGAAGGCAGGUCUCUGGGCCAUAACUGACGCUGAGAAGCGAAAGCAUGGGGAGCGAACAGG